AUACUUACCUGGCAAGGGAGAUACCGUGAUCAAGAAGUCGGUUCACCCAGGGCGAGGCUCAGCCAUUGCACUCCGGCUGUGCUGACCCCUGCGAAUUUCCCAAAUGUGGAAAUCUCGAUUGCAUAAUUUAUGGUAGUGGGGGACUGCGUUCGCGCUCGCCCCUG
RNAcentral lists this small nuclear RNA (164 nucleotides) under Salmo salar (Atlantic salmon). Its description in RNAcentral is "U1 spliceosomal RNA". It matches the Rfam family "U1 spliceosomal RNA". Rfam says of the family: U1 is a small nuclear RNA (snRNA) component of the spliceosome (involved in pre-mRNA splicing). Its 5' end forms complementary base pairs with the 5' splice junction, thus defining the 5' donor site of an intron. The record is from Rfam by way of RNAcentral. Lineage: Eukaryota; Metazoa; Chordata; Actinopteri; Salmoniformes; Salmonidae.